Molecule: ribosomal RNA, 386 nt
Filed under: uncultured bacterium
Lineage: Bacteria
Description: bacterial SSU rRNA
Rfam family: Bacterial small subunit ribosomal RNA
Source: RNAcentral
AGAGUUUGAUCCUGGCUCAGAUUGAACGCUGGCGGCAUGCUUUACACAUGCAAGUCGAACGGUAACAGGCCGCAAGGUGCUGACGAGUGGCGAACGGGUGAGUAAUGCAUCGGAACGUGCCCAGUCGUGGGGGAUAACGCAGCGAAAGCUGUGCUAAUACCGCAUACGAUCUAUGGAUGAAAGCGGGGGACCGUAAGGCCUCGCGCGAUUGGAGCGGCCGAUGUCAGAUUAGGUAGUUGGUGGGGUAAAGGCCCACCAAGCCAACGAUCUGUAGCUGGUCUGAGAGGACGACCAGCCACACUGGGACUGAGACACGGCCCAGACUCCUACGGGAGGCAGCAGUGGGGAAUUUUGGACAAUGGGCGCAAGCCUGAUCCAGCAAUGCC